Molecule: ribosomal RNA, 253 nt
Filed under: uncultured bacterium
Lineage: Bacteria
Description: partial 16S ribosomal RNA
Rfam family: Bacterial small subunit ribosomal RNA
Source: RNAcentral
GAUCAUGGCUCAGAUUGAACGCUGGCGGAACGCUUUACACAUGCAAGUCGAACGGUAACGCGGUGAGAAGCUUGCUUCUCACCGGCGACGAGUGGCGAACGGGUGAGUAAUACAUCGGAACGUGUCCGCUCGUGGGGGACAACCAGCCGAAAGUUUGGCUAAUACCGCAUGAGUUCUACGGAAGAAAGAGGGGGACCCGCAAGGGCCUCUCGCGAGCGGAGCGGCCGAUGACUGAUUAGCCGGUUGGUGAGGG